RNAcentral lists this ribosomal RNA (486 nucleotides) under uncultured bacterium. RNAcentral's name for it is "partial 16S ribosomal RNA". It matches the Rfam family "Bacterial small subunit ribosomal RNA", at positions 30 to 507 of the family's 1533-position model. The record is from RNAcentral.
AUUGAACGCUGGCGGCAUGCCUUACACAUGCAAGUCGAACGGCAGCACGGGUGCUUACACCUGGUGGCGAGUGGCGAACGGGUGAGUAAUACAUCGGAACAUGUCCUGUAGUGGGGGAUAGCCCGGCGAAAGCCGGAUUAAUACCGCAUACGAUCUACGGAUGACAGCGGGGGACCUUCGGGCCUCGCGCUAUAGGGUUGGCCGAUGGCUGAUUAGCUGGUUGGUGGGGUAAAGGCCUACCAAGGCGACUAUCAGUAGCUGGUCUGAGAGGACGACCAGCCACACUGGGACUGAGACACGGCCCAGACUCCUACGGGAGGCAGCAGUGGGGAAUUUUGGACAAUGGGCGAAAGCCUGAUCCAGCAAUGCCGCGUGUGUGAAGAAGGCCUUCGGGUUGUAAAGAACUUUUGUCCGGAAAGAAAUCCUUGGCCCUAAUACGGUCGGGGGAUGACGGUACCGGAAGAAUAAGCACCGGCUAACUACGUG